This 2342-nucleotide long non-coding RNA is filed under the name Prunus dulcis (almond). Its description in RNAcentral is "sRNA ncRNA". The record is from RNAcentral. Lineage: Eukaryota; Viridiplantae; Streptophyta; Magnoliopsida; Rosales; Rosaceae.
UAUUUAUGUUUCGGCGAGUAUUUUCCGAGCACUUGGGUUUGUUACUCUAUUCACGCCUUUGGUUUGGAGAAAAAUUGCCAAAUACUUCCAUUGACAGAUUCCAGUGAAGUGGCUAAAACAAAGAGUCAUGUUCCCGUAAUUAUGGGUUCUGGUGUCUACGGCUCCAAGAUCGUUUUGGCCGGCGGCAUUAGACCGGAAUUCGAUGGAUUAGCCAAUUUCAUACCACGUCCGUGUAGAGAAGUUUAUGCGUUUGACACUGCGAUUAUGAAUUCACAUCCACCAGAUAUGAUACAGUGCCGUGGUCCCCUUCAACACGGGAAGACUCAUCCCCUCGUGGUAGAGCACAAGGACAAGUUAUAUGUUCUCUCCCCGUUAACAGGUCAGGGGUUCGAGAUGUUCGACCCAAAAUAUGACACAUGGGUGACUUUGCCCGAGCCCCCAUUUUUCCACAGACGCUACCUUGGACACCACACCAAUUCUGUUGUUGUAGGCAGUAAUAUCUUUGUGUCAUGUGUGUCUAGUAUCUACCGCUUUGACAUGGCUGACACCAGCCAAAUAUGGAAGGAGCACUCUUUUACCAACUGCACUGCAUUGCCAUAUAGAUGGGAUGAGAAAAGUUUAGCGCUGGAAAUGAGUGACGGGGAUUGGUUGAUUUUCACAUGUUACCCAGAAUUGAGUUAUGACCGUCAUGAAAUCAAAGACAACCGUUGCUGCGACGAUUACGACUGCAACAACUCUAAUGUGUAUGAUUAUCCUCCUUAUCGUCAUCAGCUUGUGCCUGAUCGUCAUUUUGAAUGGCAUGGUACAUCUUUGCCUGCCUAUAUCAUGUCAAAGGACUUUACAUCACUCACACCUAUUCAACCUCUGCGCUUGCCUGAUGAUCUGUUACCUACUCAACCAGGCUGUGAAAGGUUGCGUGAUCUGUAUACGGCUAAACCCCGUGAAAUAGAUUAUAGGAUUGUCCAUCUAGGAGGUCAAGAGAUAUGUCUGGUAUUGUCUAUCGACACUGGAUUUGAGCCCAAUGGUGGAGUUUUGAGGAAGAUGCCAAUUUUUGUUGCAAGUUUCGAAUUUCAACUUUCAGACAGUAAAGACUUGUUAACCAUCAAAACAGGGUCUUGUAGUGUUCAAUGUUUUCUACUUGGUGCCUGCUCUUCAAGUGCAACUAAAUUAUCCAUGUGUGGUGCCUUUUGGCUGUAAGUUUUGCUAACUCACUAUUUGUUUCUUUCUGGUUUGGGUUUUCUAUUUUGGAAUUUGAUAUAUUUUUGCUAAACAAUGGAACAGGUAAACGUCAGCACUCUUCUCAAAUGGUGCAGUCUUAAAUGGCGUAUGAAAGUUUUGAUAAUGAAUCUGUUUGAGGAAUGUGAAACUUUAUUUGCUUUUUAUGGAGAAUGUAAUAUUCUAAGAAUACUCUGAUCUUUUACCUAGUUUUUUCAUUAAAUUGACUUUGGUAUAUCACUUUUCAUUCUUAUGACUGAGUGCUUGAAUGGUCACCUUGAUUAAACCUAUAUUAUAUAGAAACAAAUUGAUUGUAUGACAUACAAACAUGGCUUUAAUUACAUGAUUACAUAUAUAAAUGCAGUUACCCCUGGCAAUUGUAGCUUCUUGUUUUCGUGUUUGUUUAGCUGUGGAGUUUUAUUUUAGGCUUUGUUUAUACACAAAAUUGAAGCAAUUUUCUUUAAAACAGUAUAGCAUCUCCAGAGCUGGAAGGUCAGAUUGAUCAUCUUUCGGGGGAUGCAGGCUUUGAACUCUUGGAAGAGUUAAAUACUCAUCAAGUGCAAAAUAUGUUAUGAUGCUGAGAAAGUGGCAAUAAAAUUACUUGCAACCAGGUUAGAACUUCCAUAACUUCAGAGAACUGCUUGGCGUAGUGCUUCUAGAAUGUCUAAGGGCAGGGAUUCUUCUGAGGUACAUGAUUUUGCCAAGAUACCUUUGGAUAGCAGUUUGAGGGAUUGGGCAUCUGUAUUCCUGGAGUUAAGAUGCUAUAGAAGUUUCAAAAUAAGGAUGUUUGCCUGUGAAUGAAGAAGAAAAAAAAAUUGUUUAAGAAGCUAUUUCUCUUUGUAGGGCCUUCACAGCAGUUGAACUGAGAAAGAAAUUACAUGGAAAUAACUUUACUCUAGAUACCGUUGAGGCAGUGAUAAAUGACUUCAUUAGCAGGUACAUCUAGUCCUGAGAAUGUCCUGUGUUGAGAGUGCUCAUCAGCCAAUUAUCUGGAAAUAAACAUGUUUGAAAACUCCACAUGCUUGAGUAAUUAUUCCACAAUAAGCUUAGAAACUGGUUCUACAUGCAAUGCAAGUUGUAAGACUGAUUCAGUUACUACUGUAUAAAAAAAAAAUGGAUUACAGAGA